This 812-nucleotide unclassified non-coding RNA is filed under the name Leishmania donovani. RNAcentral's name for it is "gene:unknown". The record is from RNAcentral. Lineage: Eukaryota; Euglenozoa; Kinetoplastea; Trypanosomatida; Trypanosomatidae.
UCGAUUGCGUCGCGAGGAGGAGUGGCGCGGAGCACGGUUUUGGGCAGAUGCACGCACGGGUACACCAGAUGCACAAAACAUGUGACAGAACACAACGAUGAUGUAUAUGUGCACGCCUCCCCGACACAUGGCACCUUGGCUGAAGAUGCGAAUCCCAGCACCAGCCGUGCUCCAAGGCAUACGCUUCACAGGUGUGCUAACAAAGCAAGCAGGGGCCAAAGAACUGCGAUUUUUCUUCAUGAAGGCAAAAAUCGAAUAGCGGGCGAAUGCCGCAUUAUGGAAGCGAUAAAGGCCACUGCGACGCAUCAAACAUACCUGCAUACAGAAGCAAUAUGAAGCAGGGGGUAAAGAGAAGGAGCGCUGCCGACACGCUCCACAUUAAAAACUUUUUCACGACACGGACGAGGGCGGUGCUGCUGGUGCACACACGAUCGAUGAUAUUGAUGUGUGUGCGUGUGUGCUUGUGUGCGUGUGUGCUUGUGUGCGCGUAUGCACCUGUACGUGCGUCUUCCUUGUUACCCACUCCCUCGAAUCGCUCAAUUUCGUUUUUCAUUCCUCUUUCCCUUCUCUCCACCGCGACCCCCCUUUCCGCUGCACGCCUUCUGCGAAAGUAUGUGCGCUUAUGUUGGCUUGCGCACUGUAUGACAGAGACGGAGAAAAAAAAACAAGGAAUAGAUUGAGGUUGGAUACAACACGGUUGACGGGAACGCGGGUUUCGACUUACUCUUUCCUUUUCACUUGAGAAUGGUGCCACACGUAUGUCGGCGAGUGACUGAAGGAGCGUCGCAAUGCGGCCUUCGCUUUUCUACUUC